GAUGCUAUACCGACCCAUAACUCCAGGUUUCAGUUGAAGAAAAAUUAAAAAUUUAAAUACCAAAUGGUACUAGGUCCACAUUAACUCCAGGUUUCAGUUGAAGAAAAAUUAAAAAUUUUAAAUACCAAAUGGUACUAGGUCCACAUUCCCACCACACCCACCAGAAUUUAAAAUCAUGGUUCCCAUCAAGGAUUAUGAGCCCCCAACAUAGAAGACCUUUACAAAUCUUCACUUGCAACAUCAAAGGUUGUAUUUGUUCAAAGUAUUUGAAAUCAUAAUAAACUUUUUGCAGCACUGUUGACAUCACUUUCGAAUGGAAAAGUACACAUAAUCGAAUGGAAAUGUUCCUAAACAUUUCCCUUGUUGUCAUUACUAUAAUAGUUAACUAUGUUUUUUCCAACAGAACGU
Molecule: long non-coding RNA, 408 nt
Filed under: Musa acuminata (dwarf banana)
Lineage: Eukaryota; Viridiplantae; Streptophyta; Magnoliopsida; Zingiberales; Musaceae
Description: long non-coding RNA (MACU_LNC003488)
Source: RNAcentral